CAGCCUAAGAGAAGGCCCAGUGCAGACACAAUCAGAGAAGGACUGGGAGUAAUCGGGAGGGCUUACUAAGGACUCUGAACAUGCUAGACCACGCUCACCCUGGAGACACCAAGGUUACCCCAGAGGCCACCAGCAAGUCCCCAUCCACCCGGCACCCCUCACGGAAGCCUCCACUUCGUCUGGGCUCGGCCUCCUUGGCUUCCACUUCAGGCCUUUGGGGAGAGGUUUAUGUUAACCAACAAAGGGAUUCUCUGAGAAGCCUGGGAACCCAGAAAGAAAAGCACGAGCUGAACUCUCCGUCUGCCUGCCUGGCAGGUGUGUAAGAGCUGGAGGGGGCAGGGGAGUGGCCGGGUCAGGGCGGCUCACUGUGGCUGCAGUCAGUCCCCGUCUGCAGGCGAGCCAACUCCGCUGACAGGCUGGGCCUCUCCCACAGGUUUUCCCUGGGACUAGACAAAAGAGGAAUAGAGACCAGAAAAAGGGCCAAGGCCUCAGAUAAAAAUUAAUUAACACUAUCUAUUUUUCUUUCUCUUUCUGAAGGUAAUCUCUUAAUCCUAAGAACUGGGAUUCACGUGUGCCCCUUGGUCCAUAACAAAAAGGGAAGGUCAGGAGGAAUCUGUCAUGUUCAAGGUCUCACCUAUUACGUUUACUUUUCUCAGUGGCUCUCUGUGUGGCAACCUCCUGUGAAGUGAAAUAGGCCUCUAGGCUCUGACUAAGAUGAGACAAUCAUGGCCAAGGAUGGCCAUCACCACGAAAGCUUUGAUGCGGAGAGACUGGAAACCGCAGGGAAACUGGCAUGUCAGGACUUGAGUUACUAAGGGAAAAGGAGGGACCGUAAUCGUUUCUCAAGUGCUUUCCAAAUAAGUCUUUAUUCCAUCAAUAGAUUUUUCUCUAUAUCCAAUUACACUCCACUUUCUCUCUGCCUCUAUCCAGGUACCAUGUUAGGGACUAAGAAAUCAGAGGCCUUGGAAUUAGAAGGUUCUUUCUGAGGUCUUUUUGUCUAGGCUUCUACGCUAUCAAGAUAGGAAAGCCUUCGCUCUCCUGGUCUCCAUCAUUUGGAAGUGGGGAGAAGGUGGCAGAAAAGGGAUGACAGGAAAUACAAAAAGUCAUUUGGAAGCAAUUGGAAAUUGGGAAGCUACUCCCAUUCUUUACCUAAGUAAAUGGACCACCGUUCACUCGGUUGUUCAAGCCAGACCCUUGGGCAAGCAUCACUGGGCCCUUCCCUCAUCCCCUCUGCAUCCACCGUGAGGGAUCCAAGCCCUUGUGACCUCUUGCCUGGGUUAUUGGAAUGGUCUCGACUGAUCUCCUGUCUAACGUGUCACUGUCCUUCAAUCUAACAACCAGAAUUUUCUUUCUACUACACAACUGGAUCAUGUUUCUUCUCUGCUUUAAUGGUUCCCCCUUUCUGUCAGAAUAAUUUCCAAACUACUAAGUAUAGCAUUCAAGACUCCCCAUGGGGGCUUCCCUGGUGGUGCAGUGGUUAAGAAUCUGCCUGCCGAUGCAGGGAACAUGGGUUCGAGCCCUGGUCUGGGAGGAUCCCACAUGCCACAGAGCAACUAAGCCCGUGCGCCACAACUACUGAGCCUGCGCUCUAGAGCCCGUGAGCCACAACUACGGAGCCUGUGUGUCUGGAGCCUGUGCUCCGGAACGGGAGAGGCCACGACAGUGAGAGGCCCGCGCACCGCAAUGAAGAGUGGCCCCCGCUUGCCGCAACUGGAGAAAGUCCUCGCACAGAAAUGAAGACCCAACACUGGCAAAAAAAAAAAAAGUGGAAGUGUAGCAGUUACAUAAUAAGAGACUCCCCCCAUGAUCAUCAGGCUGAUGCUUCUGCUGCCAUGUACCCCCCAGUAUUCAAAGGCUACCCUGAACUAGUAUGAUGUGCUCCAAGCUGCCUCCUGAACCUGGUACACUCUUCCUGGAUCAUCCCUUUCCCCACUCCGGCUAACUCUCGUCUGUCCUUCAGGCCUCAGGCUGGUUGUCCCUUCUUCUGGGCCGCUUCCCCGAACCCCUGCUACACUGGAUUAGGUACCUUUUCUCUUCAGUGGAUUCCCAUGACCUUCAACCUGCAGUGGCAACUCUCCCCAUUGCCAUGUCUGUCUCCUAGACUAGGCUGCAAGCUUGUACAGGUAGGGUGGAAAGGCCUUUUCCAUGUCUUUAAUUUGCAUGAAUUCAACGGUGUGUCCAUAUUAAAAAAGAGUGAGGGAGAGAGAGAGUGAGUGGAUGUUAUUUCAACGGUAUGAGCAAUCCUGAGUGAUUUCCACUGGGCAUCAGUCAACCUACAGGUGUCCCCACAUGGUGUCUUAGUGAGAUGAACGCGAAGCUCGGCUUGAAGGUUCUGUUUGCUUUUGUUUUGUUUCACAUCGCUCGGCCGCUAAACGUAAUCCACAGGCACCAUCUAGUGAGGAAGCAGCAAUAUGGUCCAGCACUGGAGGAGGUGCUGGUGACUCUGGACUUAUUGAGACACUGGGUUUCAUUCUCUAACACAGUGCAUCCCUAAGGGAUUUUCAAGAUGAUCGAUGCUAGAUUUAAUUUUUGCUUUCUGUGUGAUUUUUAGAACGAACACCCCUGUGAAAUACAACUCCGCUCUACUAGCCAAGCUUGCCCCCCUUUCUCCUGGCAACUACAUCCUCACCCCAUUUAUAUGGCUAUUACAGGAGCUGUCAUGGUCUCACCUGACCCAAGAGAGGACAACAAAUAUCUUCUUCUCCAAGAUUAUUGAGUUUGAGGUCCAGAUAAUUAAAGCCACGUCCUUUCUUGCAGGUGAAGCUGUAAGAUGAAAAACUCAAGGGCCCUAUUUUUCAGCACAUGACAAAAGCUAGUCCACUGAAAGGAACAGACAAGAUGGAGAGAGACGUGACCUGAAAACGGCAAAGGCUGGGUCAGCAGGUGUGUGCUCCUUACCACUGGAGGGUUGUAGGCAAAAGCCAGGUUGGGGAGGAUGGGGUACUACUCAUCGGAUAUAUGCUUCCUUGGUGCUGAUGUAGGGCAUAUGAAGAAAGACGGCUGCCCCGGUGAGCUGCAAGCCUGAAUCUAUGUGAUUCCAAGGGGUAGGAGAAUAGGUGGGGGGCAGUAAAUGUCGGGGUGGGAGGAGGUGAAAAGGAAGAAUGGUGAGGAUGGGAGAGAACUGAGUUAGUUGGGACAGAGAUGAUGUAGAGUGGAUUUAGGCAGAAAUAUUUAGCCUGAGAUCUAACUUACUCUGAAAAGUUAAGCAAUGGAAAGAAUGUGCCAGAGAGAGGUUAAUGCCCCCAAAGUUACACAGCUGCGACAGUGGCAGAGCCCAGAUUUGAACUGCAAUCUCUGUGGCUCUAAGGUCCAUGCUUACCAAUCAUCUGGUCUAAUCCCUUCUUCUAACAGAUGAAGACGAAGAGGCUUUGAGACAUGAAGUGACUUGCCCAAGGACACCAAGAUAUUCCAGCAAAACGAAUCCUAGAACCACCAAAACCCAGUGAAAUACUCCUUCCAGGCCAUUCAUGGCCUCCUACACAAUCAGAGAGAAAGUGGAGGGGGAGGUACUGAAUCCCUACAAGGCUCUGAAAAGGCCCCUUCCCUCGUCUGUGCCCGUCACCUCCUUGACAAACUAGGGAGGAGGCUGACGAGGUGUCACAGGGAGUGUGAGGCACUUGGAAAAUAUAAAUCCCUUGAUGAGGAGAGUCCAAGCAAUUACUUACUUGUCAACUUAGGAGGGUAGGGCGGGAUUAAUCUGAGCUCAAAGAUCAGGGUGAAAACAAAGGUGUAAUUAUUACUAUAACAAUGAUAAUAAUUUAUUAACCUGCAGAUUCUAUACAAAUAUUACUCCACCCUUGAGUAGUUUACCUGUUGCAAUUGGGGCUAAGCCACUGGUGAAGGUGGGGAUGGGACGGAGAGAGGUAACCAGAAACGACGACGGCCAGAAGGUAAGAAAACAAACUGGAGAAAGCAAACCUGCCGAUGAGCGGGUGAUGGAGGCUGACGGUGGUCUGACAGGCAAGACAUCUGAUAGUAAAAUCAUAAGCUGUUUCUAGCAGGGAAGGUUUUUCAGUGGAAACCAAAUUUCUCAUUUUUUUGUAUCAGGAACUAAAAACAAGAAUGUUAAGUGAACUACCUAAGAUCACAUAGCUUGUCAGUGACAGAACUUGAACUAGAACUUGAGUCUUUUUACACUUAGUUCUGUGCUGGUCCAAGAAGAACCUACAUGCAAGCCGGAGAGUGCAGCACAUUGGGGAAGAGAAAGACCAGAAGACAAGGUGUUACGAUACAGGUCACAGGGGCUGGUUCACUCCGAUCAAAUGCCCGUCUCGGUUUUCCAUCAACACCCUCCCCCCGCCAAUGCAGUUCAAAAAAUAUAAGAGGGCCCAAAUCAAACUGGCUUAGAGUGGGAGAGAAAUUGUCGGCUCCCAGUAAGAUAACGUGCUGCUACCACUGGAGCUUUUUUAUUUUUCCAGAAGUGAGAAUCCAUAUAAAGGAAGAAGAAAAUAAGACAUCAUGAACCAAUGCCUUCUAGUAAUUUCCCUCCCCUCUCGAAUCAAGCACCCUCGGGUCUCCCAUCUACAUAUUCUCACAGCAACACGCACCUCUUCUUGGCAGCCCUGACCACCGAGGUGACUUUACCUGGAGUCUUGGGGCUACAUGAUUGACACCUGCUUCCCUUGCUAGACUGCAAGCCUGGUCAGGGCAGCGAUGCCCUCUGACUGUAUCACCACUUUGUCUUUGCUUCCUGGUUUGGAAUUUGGCUGUAGUAGCUAAGAUGCGCCACCCAGACCCCCUGAGAGGAAGACCUUGCUGCCCAUCUGUGGGGAACACAGCCAGCAGACAGCCCUCCCGCUGUCAGCAACUUCAGGGUCUGGCUCAGCUGCAGAGAGCGGUACCUCUGAAGGCCAUACCUUUGGGGAGUGGGCAGUCCAUGUUUGGUGACUGAGUGAAGCAGGGGGUAGUGGAUUGACUGGUGGUCCCCAAAAGGUCCCCAAAGAUGUCCUAACCCCCAGAACUUGUGAAUGAGACCUUAUCUGGAGAAAGGGUCUCUGCAGAUGUAACUAAGUUAAGGAUCUCGAAAUGAGGUCGUUUGGGGUUUAGAAUGGGCCCUAAAUCCAGUGACAGAUGUCCUUAUGAGAAAAAGGCAAAAGUAGAUUUGAGACUGAGACACACAGAGGAGAAGUCACGUGAAGACAGAGGCAGAGACCGGAGGGAUGCUGCCACAAGUCAGUGGGACACUUGGAGCCACCAGAAGCUGGAAGAGGCCAAGAAGGAUGCUCUCGCAAGCUUAGGAGGGAGCACGGCCCUGCUGACACCCUGACGCUGGACUUCUGGCCUCCAGAACUGCGAGGGAAGGAAAUUCUGUUGUUGCCAUUGGUUACAGCAUCCCUAGGAAAUCAACACACAGGGGGCAUAAAGGGCUGCAUCUGGGCCACUGCGGCAUGACUGUCACUAGUUCCUGCUCCAGAGUUCACCGCUGGGUCCCUGAGGUUCCGUCAGGCCUAAACCAUGUUUGACUUUUUCUUCUGCUUAAUCUGCUUUCUUCCUUCCUCCUCCAACAGAUUUUGAUCCCUAAUAAACACCUCACACUCUAAACUCGGGCUCCCGAGAGCUGCUUCCAGAGAACCCAGCAUGACACGCUAUAAUAAGAUAUUUGACUAAAGGCUGUGAUUUGCCCAAGUUCACACACCUGGCCAGUGGUGGAUGGAGCCAAGGAGAACGGGUGCUUUUGCCAGGGUGACGCUGCAUCCGUUGGCUGCUUUAGGUGGAGCAAGACAGCCGUGGCUAUUCUGCACAAAGCACAGCAGAUGAAGAUGCCCAGCCUGCCAGACGGUGUCCUGCGGUUUCCCAUGCUGUUCCAGACCAGUCACAGGUUACAGUCCUCUUAGCGAGAGCCACACGCCGAGCUGGAAUCCCAGCGUGGAGCCUCGGGCUGGGGGCAUGGCGUGUGACAGAAAGAGCGGAGGCUGAAUGGAGGGCCCCCCCACCCCAUCUGCUGUUUCUCUGCUCCUUCCUCCUUCUCUUCCUAAAAACAUCGAGGAAAUGCCUGCAAGCUGAGCUCAGAAAGCAUGCGUUACAAGGCCCUGAGCUGGGCAGUGACUGUGCCACACAGACAGUAUCCACGCUCGCUUCCACAAACCUGCCUUCCGCCUUCCCCAACACCACCCCAAAUCGCACAGGACCCUCUGGAGUCUCAGCCCCUCUGGGGAACUCUCCCUUCUCUGAAUUCUCUCACAAUUCACCUCUGGCACAGAGUCUAACAGAGGCUGAACUUCACGCUCUAGUUUCAAACCAACUGUUGAAUGCGUGCAGGAUUGCGUGAGCACCUGAUCAGAGCUACGGCAGGUGUUGGUGACAGGGCGGGAAGGAAGACACAGCCCCUGCCUCGUGGAGCUUACACCCUAGCAUGGAAGACAGAUUAAACAAAGAAUGGCAAGUAGAGUGUUAACACAGUGGAGGUAAGGGCUGCUUGGUGCAGAGAACAAAGGAAGUGAGCUGAAUCAAAGGAUUCAAGGGAAGCCUGCCAGCUUCUGAGUUUUCUUACUCUUUGUGCCUGGAAGUCUAGUCUUCCCUAUAAACUGCAUAUGCUUCAAGACCAGGAGCCAGAUGUGAUUUAGCCCUAAUGUCCUUCGUGAGAAAUCAUCAGAAAACACUGGCGAGUUCGAAUGCAGCUAAUGUGAGUGGUGCCUGUAGGGUCACAUGCUGUCCCAUGUUCCACCCACGGCACCCGAGGGGACUUAGGACACUCCUGGGGCUUCACAAGGAAGAAAAUAUAUACAAAUUGCAUAGGAUUUGCUGCCCCAGUUCCUUGGCCUUGCUUCUUGCUUAGUUUCCUCUCUCUGAGCUGCCCUGGCAUUGGCCUAGAAGGAAUCCUAACCCCCAGUAAAAAUAAAAUGUGGAUCUUACACAAACCUGCGUGAAGGUCACUCAACAGAAAAGUGCCAGGACCCCGAACCCAGCGGCCUGAGCAGAAAGUGGAAAUGCCGACUUUCUUCAUGAAAAGCCCACAAUUAAUUAACUUUAACAGA
Molecule: long non-coding RNA, 6974 nt
Organism: Orcinus orca (killer whale)
Lineage: Eukaryota; Metazoa; Chordata; Mammalia; Artiodactyla; Delphinidae
Exons: 3
Source: RefSeq, a predicted model, not a curated record